GCUGGGUGUGGUGGCUCACACCUGUAGUCCCAGCACUUUGGAGGCCAAGGUGGGAGGAUCACUUGAGCCCAGGAGUUCCAGACCAGCCUGGGCAACACAGAGAGACCCCACCUCUA
Molecule: unclassified non-coding RNA, 116 nt
Organism: Pongo abelii (Sumatran orangutan)
Lineage: Eukaryota; Metazoa; Chordata; Mammalia; Primates; Hominidae
Rfam family: Metazoan signal recognition particle RNA
About the family: The signal recognition particle (SRP) is a universally conserved ribonucleoprotein. It is involved in the co-translational targeting of proteins to membranes. The eukaryotic SRP consists of a 300-nucleotide 7S RNA and six proteins: SRPs 72, 68, 54, 19, 14, and 9.
Source: Ensembl